This 2901-nucleotide ribosomal RNA is filed under the name Escherichia coli HVH 82 (4-2209276). RNAcentral's name for it is "bacterial LSU rRNA". It matches the Rfam family "Bacterial large subunit ribosomal RNA". The record is from RNAcentral. Lineage: Bacteria; Pseudomonadati; Pseudomonadota; Gammaproteobacteria; Enterobacterales; Enterobacteriaceae.
UUAAGCGACUAAGCGUACACGGUGGAUGCCCUGGCAGUCAGAGGCGAUGAAGGACGUGCUAAUCUGCGAUAAGCGUCGGUAAGGUGAUAUGAACCGUUAUAACCGGCGAUUUCCGAAUGGGGAAACCCAGUGUGUUUCGACACACUAUCAUUAACUGAAUCCAUAGGUUAAUGAGGCGAACCGGGGGAACUGAAACAUCUAAGUACCCCGAGGAAAAGAAAUCAACCGAGAUUCCCCCAGUAGCGGCGAGCGAACGGGGAGGAGCCCAGAGCCUGAAUCAGUGUGUGUGUUAGUGGAAGCGUCUGGAAAGGCGCGCGAUACAGGGUGACAGCCCCGUACACAAAAAUGCACAUGCUGUGAGCUCGAUGAGUAGGGCGGGACACGUGGUAUCCUGUCUGAAUAUGGGGGGACCAUCCUCCAAGGCUAAAUACUCCUGACUGACCGAUAGUGAACCAGUACCGUGAGGGAAAGGCGAAAAGAACCCCGGCGAGGGGAGUGAAAAAGAACCUGAAACCGUGUACGUACAAGCAGUGGGAGCCUCUUUAUGGGGUGACUGCGUACCUUUUGUAUAAUGGGUCAGCGACUUAUAUUCUGUAGCAAGGUUAACCGAAUAGGGGAGCCGAAGGGAAACCGAGUCUUAACUGGGCGUUAAGUUGCAGGGUAUAGACCCGAAACCCGGUGAUCUAGCCAUGGGCAGGUUGAAGGUUGGGUAACACUAACUGGAGGACCGAACCGACUAAUGUUGAAAAAUUAGCGGAUGACUUGUGGCUGGGGGUGAAAGGCCAAUCAAACCGGGAGAUAGCUGGUUCUCCCCGAAAGCUAUUUAGGUAGCGCCUCGUGAAUUCAUCUCCGGGGGUAGAGCACUGUUUCGGCAAGGGGGUCAUCCCGACUUACCAACCCGAUGCAAACUGCGAAUACCGGAGAAUGUUAUCACGGGAGACACACGGCGGGUGCUAACGUCCGUCGUGAAGAGGGAAACAACCCAGACCGCCAGCUAAGGUCCCAAAGUCAUGGUUAAGUGGGAAACGAUGUGGGAAGGCCCAGACAGCCAGGAUGUUGGCUUAGAAGCAGCCAUCAUUUAAAGAAAGCGUAAUAGCUCACUGGUCGAGUCGGCCUGCGCGGAAGAUGUAACGGGGCUAAACCAUGCACCGAAGCUGCGGCAGCGACGCUUAUGCGUUGUUGGGUAGGGGAGCGUUCUGUAAGCCUGUGAAGGUGUGCUGUGAGGCAUGCUGGAGGUAUCAGAAGUGCGAAUGCUGACAUAAGUAACGAUAAAGCGGGUGAAAAGCCCGCUCGCCGGAAGACCAAGGGUUCCUGUCCAACGUUAAUCGGGGCAGGGUGAGUCGACCCCUAAGGCGAGGCCGAAAGGCGUAGUCGAUGGGAAACAGGUUAAUAUUCCUGUACUUGGUGUUACUGCGAAGGGGGGACGGAGAAGGCUAUGUUGGCCGGGCGACGGUUGUCCCGGUUUAAGCGUGUAGGCUGGUUUUCCAGGCAAAUCCGGAAAAUCAAGGCUGAGGCGUGAUGACGAGGCACUACGGUGCUGAAGCAACAAAUGCCCUGCUUCCAGGAAAAGCCUCUAAGCAUCAGGUAACAUCAAAUCGUACCCCAAACCGACACAGGUGGUCAGGUAGAGAAUACCAAGGCGCUUGAGAGAACUCGGGUGAAGGAACUAGGCAAAAUGGUGCCGUAACUUCGGGAGAAGGCACGCUGAUAUGUAGGUGAAGUCCCUCGCGGAUGGAGCUGAAAUCAGUCGAAGAUACCAGCUGGCUGCAACUGUUUAUUAAAAACACAGCACUGUGCAAACACGAAAGUGGACGUAUACGGUGUGACGCCUGCCCGGUGCCGGAAGGUUAAUUGAUGGGGUCAGCGCAAGCGAAGCUCUUGAUCGAAGCCCCGGUAAACGGCGGCCGUAACUAUAACGGUCCUAAGGUAGCGAAAUUCCUUGUCGGGUAAGUUCCGACCUGCACGAAUGGCGUAAUGAUGGCCAGGCUGUCUCCACCCGAGACUCAGUGAAAUUGAACUCGCUGUGAAGAUGCAGUGUACCCGCGGCAAGACGGAAAGACCCCGUGAACCUUUACUAUAGCUUGACACUGAACAUUGAGCCUUGAUGUGUAGGAUAGGUGGGAGGCUUAGAAGUGUGGACGCCAGUCUGCAUGGAGCCGACCUUGAAAUACCACCCUUUAAUGUUUGAUGUUCUAACGUUGACCCGUAAUCCGGGUUGCGGACAGUGUCUGGUGGGUAGUUUGACUGGGGCGGUCUCCUCCUAAAGAGUAACGGAGGAGCACGAAGGUUGGCUAAUCCUGGUCGGACAUCAGGAGGUUAGUGCAAUGGCAUAAGCCAGCUUGACUGCGAGCGUGACGGCGCGAGCAGGUGCGAAAGCAGGUCAUAGUGAUCCGGUGGUUCUGAAUGGAAGGGCCAUCGCUCAACGGAUAAAAGGUACUCCGGGGAUAACAGGCUGAUACCGCCCAAGAGUUCAUAUCGACGGCGGUGUUUGGCACCUCGAUGUCGGCUCAUCACAUCCUGGGGCUGAAGUAGGUCCCAAGGGUAUGGCUGUUCGCCAUUUAAAGUGGUACGCGAGCUGGGUUUAGAACGUCGUGAGACAGUUCGGUCCCUAUCUGCCGUGGGCGCUGGAGAACUGAGGGGGGCUGCUCCUAGUACGAGAGGACCGGAGUGGACGCAUCACUGGUGUUCGGGUUGUCAUGCCAAUGGCACUGCCCGGUAGCUAAAUGCGGAAGAGAUAAGUGCUGAAAGCAUCUAAGCACGAAACUUGCCCCGAGAUGAGUUCUCCCUGACCCUUUAAGGGUCCUGAAGGAACGUUGAAGACGACGACGUUGAUAGGCCGGGUGUGUAAGCGCAGCGAUGCGUUGAGCUAACCGGUACUAAUGAACCGUGAGGCUUAACCUU